AACGAACGCUGGCGGCAGGCCUAACACAUGCAAGUCGAACGCCCUCUUCGGAGGGAGUGGCAGACGGGUGAGUAACGCGUGGGAACCUUCCCUGUGGUACGGAAUAACUCAGAGAAAUUUGAGCUAAUACCGUAUACGCCCUUCGGGGGAAAGAUUUAUCGCCAUAGGAUGGGCCCGCGUCGGAUUAGCUAGUUGGUGAGGUAAUGGCUCACCAAGGCAACGAUCCGUAGCUGGUCUUAGAGGAUGAUCAGCCACACUGGGACUGAGACACGGCCCAGACUCCUACGGGAGGCAGCAGUGGGGAAUAUUGGACAAUGGGCGCAAGCCUGAUCCAGCCAUGCCGCGUGAGUGACGAAGGCCUUAGGGUUGUAAAGCUCUUUUGGCGGGGACGAUAAUGACGGUACCCGCAGAAUAAGCCCCCGGCUAACUUCGUGCCAGCGCCGCGGUAA
This 449-nucleotide ribosomal RNA is filed under the name uncultured bacterium. RNAcentral describes it as "bacterial SSU rRNA". It matches the Rfam family "Bacterial small subunit ribosomal RNA", at positions 29 to 523 of the family's 1533-position model. The record is from RNAcentral.